This 253-nucleotide ribosomal RNA is filed under the name uncultured bacterium. RNAcentral describes it as "partial 16S ribosomal RNA". It matches the Rfam family "Bacterial small subunit ribosomal RNA", at positions 524 to 776 of the family's 1533-position model. The record is from RNAcentral.
AACGUAGGAGGCGAGCGUUAUCCGGAUUUACUGGGCGUAAAGGGCAAGUAGGCGGUGGCCAAAGUUGGGCGUGACAGAUUUCGGCUCAACCGAAAAAGGUCGUCCAAAACUAGGUUACUUGAGGACAGGAGAGGGGAGCGGAAUUCCUAGUGUAGCGGUGGAAUGCUCAGAUACUAGGAGGAACACCAGUGGCGAAAGCGGCUCUCUGGCCUGCACCUGACGCUGAGAGGCGAAAGCUAGGGGAGCGAACGGG